This 31-nucleotide non-coding RNA is filed under the name Homo sapiens (human). The record is from RNAcentral. Lineage: Eukaryota; Metazoa; Chordata; Mammalia; Primates; Hominidae.
UCCAGCUGUGCCCUUGAACCCUGCAGAGAGA